RNAcentral lists this ribosomal RNA (243 nucleotides) under Gymnothorax undulatus (undulated moray). Its description in RNAcentral is "partial small subunit ribosomal RNA". The record is from RNAcentral. Lineage: Eukaryota; Metazoa; Chordata; Actinopteri; Anguilliformes; Muraenidae.
AGAGGCCCAAAUUGAUGCACCACGGCGUAAAGUGUGAUUAGAGACAAAACCCGACUAGAACUAAAUACCCCCUAUGCUGUCAUACGCCAUGGGGGUCACGAAACCCAACAACGAAAGUGGUUCUAUGAGCCUUGAACUCACGACAGCCAGGACACAAACUGGGAUUAGAUACCCCACUAUGCUUGGCCCUAAACUAAGGUGAUGAAAGUACUAACUUCGCCCGCCAGGGAACUACGAGCCCUA